CAAUUACAAACGAUUUUCUCUUAAUCACACUUAGGGUUUCAAUUUCAACCUUCUUAAAUCUCUCAUAAUAGUAUCACACAUUCUUCUCAUCUUCUUUUCCAUGUAGGUCUCGCAUAUUCUACUCUAAUAAGUCCUCUAUUAUGUUCUUUCUUUUUUAUCUUUUAUGUUACUAUUUUCUCUUCCAAUUACGUUUUUAUUGCA
This 201-nucleotide long non-coding RNA is filed under the name Lathyrus oleraceus (garden pea). RNAcentral describes it as "Pisum sativum (pea) long non-coding RNA (PSAT_LNC004206)". The record is from RNAcentral. Lineage: Eukaryota; Viridiplantae; Streptophyta; Magnoliopsida; Fabales; Fabaceae.